UUGCCAGACUCCUACGGGAGGCAGCAGUUAGGAAUAUUCGUCAAUGGGGGAAACCCUGAACGAGCAAUGCCGCGUGAACGAUGACGGUCCUCUGGAUUGUAAAGUUCUGUUGUUUGGGAAGAACGGCUCUAAUAGGAAAUGAUUAGAGAUUGACUGUACCAUUCAAGAAAGCCACGGCUAACUACGUGCCAGCAGCCGCGGUAAUACGUAGGUGGCGAGCGUUAUCCGGAUUUAUUGGGCGUAAAGCGUCCGCAGCCGGUUUAUUAAGUAUAGAAUAAAACUUCGGGGCUCAACCCCGUCUCGUUCUAUAAACUGAUAGACUAGAGUGUGGUAGAGGCAAGUGGAAUUUCUAGUGUAGCGGUAGAAUGCGUAGAUAUUAGAAGGAACACCAGUGGCGAAGGCGACUUGCUGGGCCAUCACUGACGGUCAGGGACGAAAGCGUGGGGAGCGAAUAGGAUUAGAUACCCCAGUA
This 472-nucleotide ribosomal RNA is filed under the name uncultured bacterium. RNAcentral describes it as "bacterial SSU rRNA". It matches the Rfam family "Bacterial small subunit ribosomal RNA", at positions 328 to 792 of the family's 1533-position model. The record is from RNAcentral.